RNAcentral lists this ribosomal RNA (293 nucleotides) under uncultured bacterium. Its description in RNAcentral is "partial 16S ribosomal RNA". It matches the Rfam family "Bacterial small subunit ribosomal RNA", at positions 505 to 796 of the family's 1533-position model. The record is from RNAcentral.
GUGCCAGCAGCCGCGGUAAUACGGAGGGUGCGAGCGUUGUCCGGAAUCAUUGGGCGUAAAGCGCACGUAGGCGGUCCGUUAAGUCUCUUGGUGAAAGGCUGGGGCUCAACCCUAUGCAUGCCGGGGAUACUGGGGGACUGGAGACAGGUAGAGGCGAGCGGAAUUCCGGGUGUAGCGGUGGAAUGCGUAGAGAUCCGGAAGAACACCGGAGGCGAAGGCGGCUCGCUGGACCUGAUCUGACGCUGAGGUGCGAAAGCGUGGGGAGCGAACAGGAUUAGAUACCCCGGUAGUCC